RNAcentral lists this unclassified non-coding RNA (433 nucleotides) under soil metagenome. RNAcentral describes it as "partial contains 5.8S ribosomal RNA, internal transcribed spacer 2, and large subunit ribosomal RNA". The stretch from base 1 to 120 matches the Rfam family "5.8S ribosomal RNA", at positions 35 to 154 of the family's 154-position model. The record is from RNAcentral.
GAUGAAGAACGUAGCGAAAUGCGAUACGUAAUGUGAAUUGCAGAAUUCAGUGAAUCAUCGAAUCUUUGAACGCAUAUUGCGCUCUCUGGUAUUCCGGAGAGCAUGCUUGUUUGAGUAUCAGUAAACACCUCAACUUCCAUAUCUUUUUUGAAAUGGGAGUUGGACUUGAGUGAUCCCAACGCUUUUCCUCACCGAAAAGCGGCGGGUUACUUGAAAUGCAGGUGCAGCUGGACUUUUCUCUGAGCUAUAAGCAUAUCUAUUUAGUCUGCCUAAAAAACAGAUUAUUACCUUUGCUGCAGCUAACAUAAAGGAGAUUAGUUCUUGUGCUGACUUAUGCAGGAUUCACAAAGACAGGCUUCGGCCGACUUUGUAAACUCGAUCUCAAAUCAAGUAAGACUACCCGCUGAACUUAAGCAUAUCAAUAAGCGGAGGA